RNAcentral lists this ribosomal RNA (1136 nucleotides) under uncultured bacterium. Its description in RNAcentral is "bacterial SSU rRNA". It matches the Rfam family "Bacterial small subunit ribosomal RNA", at positions 374 to 1502 of the family's 1533-position model. The record is from RNAcentral.
GGGGAAACCUUUAAGCAGCCAUGCCGGGGUGUGGAAGAAAGCCUUUCGGGUUGUAAAGCAUUUUCAGUAGGGAGGAAGGUAGUGUAGUUAACACCUGCAUUAUUUGACGUUACUUACAGAAGAAGCACCGGCUAAUUCCGUGCCAGCAGCCGCGGUAAUACGGAGGGUGCGAGCGUUAAUCGGAAUUACUGGGCGUAAAGCGCAUGCAGGCGGCCUGUUAAGUCAGAUGUGAAAGCCCGGGGCUUAACCUCGGAAUUGCAUUUGAAACUGGCAGGCUAGAGUCUUGUAGAGGGGGGUAGAAUUUCAGGUGUAGCGGUGAAAUGCGUAGAGAUCUGAAGGAAUACCAGUGGCGAAGGCGGCCCCCUGGACAAAGACUGACGCUCAGAUGCGAAAGCGUGGGGAGCAAACAGGAUUAGAUACCCUGGUAGUCCACGCCGUAAACGAUGUCUACUUGGAGGUUGUGGCCUUGAGCCGUGGCUUUCGGAGCUAACGCGUUAAGUAGACCGCCUAGGGAGUACGGUCGCAAGAUUAAAACUCAAAUGAAUUGACGGGGGCCCGCACAAGCGGUGGAGCAUGUGGUUUAAUUCGAUGCAACGCGAAGAACCUUACCUACUCUUGACAUCCAGAGAAGCUUGAAGAGAUUCGAGUGUGCCUUCGGGAACUCUGAGACAGGUGCUGCAUGGCUGUCGUCAGCUCGUGUUGUGAAAUGUUGGGUUAAGUCCCGCAACGAGCGCAACCCUUAUCCUUGUUUGCCAGCACUUCGGGUGGGAACUCCAGGGAGACUGCCGGUGAUAAACCGGAGGAAGGUGGGGACGACGUCAAGUCAUCAUGGCCCUUACGAGUAGGGCUACACACGUGCUACAAUGGCAUAUACAGAGGGCAGCAAGACCGCGAGGUGGAGCGAAUCCCAGAAAGUAUGUCGUAGUCCGGAUCGGAGUCUGCAACUCGACUCCGUGAAGUCGGAAUCGCUAGUAAUCGUGGAUCAGAAUGCCACGGUGAAUACGUUCCCGGGCCUUGUACACACCGCCCGUCACACCAUGGGAGUGGGCUGCACCAGAAGUAGAUAGCUUAACCUUCGGGAGGGCGUUUACCACGGUGUGGUUCAUGACUGGGGUGAAGUCGUAACAAGGUAACCG